UCCAUUCUUCGCAAGCCGUAACAGCAAACAAAGCGAGCGAGAAUCUCCUCUAGCUAGUCUGCAAGAAGCCAGCGAGCGGCGAGGACGCGAGCUGUGACACCGGUAGGAUUAAUCGAUCCACAUGGCGCCCAAGCGGUCGACUUCGCCGGCUGGUAGCAGCAGCAGCGGCAGCGGCAGCGGUGCGGAGCAGCCCAGGCUGCGCGGCGUGCGGAAGCGGCCGUGGGGCCGGUACGCGGCGGAGAUCCGCGACCCCGUGCGGAAGGCGCGCGUGUGGCUCGGCACCUUCGACACCCCCGAGCAGGCCGCGCGCGCCUACGACGCCGCCGCGCUGAAGCUCCGCGGGCCCGGCGCCACCACCAACUACCCCGCCGCCGACGCGAAGGCGGCGGCGGCUCCGGCGACGAGCGGUAGCGGGAGCGGGAGCAUCGUGCUGUCAGAGGGCGCGUCGUCGUCCUCCUCCUCCUCUCGGGACUCUCCGCUGGCACCGAGUCUGGCGCUUCCGGCCACGGCCGCCGCGCAGCCCUGCCAUCUGUUCCUGGACCCGACGACGACGACGGUGGUGGUCGUGGCGCCGGCGCUGCUGCAGUUCCUGCCGCCGAAGAGCGAGGAAGAGCAUAGCUUCGCAGGGUCGAGCUCCUCGCCGCCCGUGGUGUUUGACUCGGCGCCGCCGGCCGUGGGCCUGGGGCUGGACCUGAACCUGGCGCUGCCGGCGCCAGGGACGAUGGUGGUGUAGCGGACAGACUAAUCAAUUGGUUAAUUGCAUACAGUAGGAAUUAGCUGAUGAUGGAUCCAGAUGCCAUCAGGCCAGUGUAAGAUAGGCUGCAGAUUUGUUAAUGCAGCCCUUCGUUUUCCUUUCUUUUUGUACUGGCACAUCUGCAUCUUCUUGCAAUGAAACAACGAGGAUGAUCUUCCCUCCCGGUUUACUACAAUCUCUCGUCUGCCAGUCUCACAGCUCCAGCAGCUCCUGAAACCUCCGAAUUGUAGCGCGCCGCGCGCCGGGAUAUGGGUUCGCAGACUCGGAUGACAUCCGGAUAUGAGGUCUGGGUACGCGCACGGGUAUGCGGGUAGCAAGCGGCGGCGUCACGUACGCGUCGCCGGGCAGGGCAGGGCAGGUAGGAGUAGGACGUGGUCUCGAGGCAACGCGCCCGUGUCGGCAGGGCAGCUAGACAGCGCGGCAGCGUGGUGCCGUGGUGUACGCGCGGCCACGAUGCACCGUCCGCAUCCAGUAGGACGUGUGCGUGCAGGUGCGCGCGCCGCCGCCGACGUCUCCAUCAACCGCCCCACGGUUUUUAAAAAGUCCGCCGACCCCGGAGGCGCGACGCGGGGUUCCCCGCAGUCGCCGUUGGCCGGCGGCAGGCGUCCCGUGCGCGUGCGGCUAUCGCUGUCGCAGGCUCGCAGGUGGCAGGCUGGCAGAGCAGGCGCCGCUCACCCUCAUAUUCCUUCGCAGCUGACGUUUCACCUCCAAAACUUGUCGCACGAAAAAUAUUCAUUUAAUCACCUUCUCAAAGUAACCCAGAGUUCUUAAAAAAAAUCUUCCCAAAACAAAGUAUUGGGACUAUGCUAAAAAAAAUUUCUCCAGAAAAUAUAUAACACAUAGCAAAACGCUAAAAAUUCUUCCCAAAACAAAGUAUUGGCUAUGCUAAAAAAAAUUUCUCCAAAAAAUAUAUAACACAUAGCAAAAUGCUAAAAACUAUCCCCCAGUAAUUCAAAAAGACCACGUCAUCAUAAUCGGAAUCAAGUAUCAAAAGAACGACAACUCGUUGGAUCGGGCCUGUCUCUAGUGCAACAGCAUGUAGAGCAGCAUGUCAUUGCAGGCGUCCAUGGUGCUGGGCAAGUACUAGUGCAGAUAGUCACGCGACACAGACGGGCGGAAGAACCAACUCGCCCAGACCACCACGUAGUCGAACUCGCCGGCGCGCGCCGACCACCCGGCAUCCGGCUGGUCGAGGUGGAGGCUCCACAGCCUGCCCCACUCCUUCGCCGCGCUCUUCCACGGGACCCUCGCCGCGCUCGUCGUGGCCAGGGCUAUCCUCGAGCUGCCCGCGGGGUCCCGCUCCUUCGCCACGCCAAACAAGCGCCUUCAGGAGCACGUCCUCGACUACAACAUCGCCUAUUUUACCAUGGACCUGCUCCACUACCUCACCUUUCGGCCCGGAGACGUCCUCUUCAUCGCGCACCAUUGAUUCAACCCCUGGCGCCAUCGUGCAACCGCGGAGCAAGAGGGGAUUCAACCACCACCGGCUAGUGCUGCCGCCGAUCCCGUCCGUCUUCGACGGCCGGUACACUGCCCUCACCUCCCCGCCGCCGCACUUCUUUCUCGCGUCUGUUCCCUCACCUAACCUCACUCUCCGCAUUGCAGCUUCCCACGCCUCCCUCCUCUCCAACCGGCGGCGUCAACCGCGCCAUGGAGAACGGCCUCCUCGACGACCCCCUCGCGCUCGCCCCGCCGCCUUGCUACUCGCCCCGCCACCCCGCUGCUUGCGCGGGAAGUGGUCGUGCAGGACGUUUGGGAAAAGACAUGCGCGGGGGAUUGGGGAAGACCAGCUGACACGAAUAUAUGCGGGGCCAGUGGUGUUUUUUUCGCGUCACCAAUCUUUUGGAAAGUUUUAGGUGGAUUAUUGGAGUUCUUUUUUUCUUUUUUGUUUCCUUAAAAAAGGUAUUGGAGGUAAGAUUAGAGUCUUUUGGAGUUCUCUCACCUAGUUAACGAAUCAAUCUACAUUCACUCCCAACAUCGACGUCCCAGCCAGACUCGCUCACCCCUUCCAUCGCCUCUUUCGUUGGUCACCCCUCCGUUCCUUGAUUAUCUGCUCGACACAUAAACGAUGCCCACUUGCAUGCAACACCGCGCAUUCGUGCCGCUUCCCCAUCGCUCGAUGCUCGCCGCCGCUUCCCAUAGCUAGCACGCUCGUCGCCGCUUCACAUUGCCUUAUUCGCCACUCCACUGCAGCUCUCCCCUCCCAUCCCAUGGUGCUAAGCGACUUCGGCAAGAGCCGUGGUUCACGGUAUUUGGGCUAAGCAGCUGCAUCUUCCAGUGAAGGGAGUGGAUCCACGACCUCCGGCUCUGGAUCGGGUGUGGGGGAGGUUGGAGUUGCAGGCUCGGUGGAGGUGGGAUGCGUAGUGGCUGAUCCUUGUCUUCCCACGGGACUCCUCUACUAUUUAAGCCCUCUUUGGCAUGGCUCAUUUCAGUUUUAGCUUCAUCUAUUUUGCGCAAAUCGAGCCACUAUAGCGUGAAACCAUUUUGUAAGCCGGGGCUAAAAUGAAUUAGAAGCUAGGUGAAACCAGUUUUUUAGCUUCACCAGUGAAAGUAUGUGCAAGUAAAAUGAGCAUCAAUAAAAUACAAGCACAUGUAUCGUGAUGGUCGUGCUUGGACUGGCACGGCACGAAGUUGUACCGGCGUGUAGCACGGGCCAUGCUUGUGCUUAGUAAAAGACUUAUCGUGCUGUGCCGGUACAACACCACGUACCUAACGUGCUCAGAAGUCCAGACACGAUGGGGCACGGGGCAUGAGAGGGCCGGGCCGUGCAGUGAAAAUCUUACCAAGGCAAGCAAGUUGUACCAAGUCGUUAUCCUUGCCUGUUCAAGCGAGACGACGCCGAGCACGGGAACCGAGAUCGAAACUAAUCCUCAAAGGCCUUGUUUAGUUCCCCUUUUUUCCCAACUUUGACACUAUGCAAAAAGAAGAUUUUCCAUCAUAUCAAACUUGCGGUACAUGCAUGGAGUACUAAAUGUAGACGAAAUCAAAAACUAAUUGCACAAUUUUGUUGUACUUUGCGAGACGAAUCUUUUGAGCCUAAUUAGUCAAUGUUUGGACAAUAAUUUAUAAAUACAAACGAAAUACUACAGUUGCGCAUUUAUAGCAAAAUGCAAACUUUGUCACUUCCAAUUUGGAAACUAAACAUGCUAGGAAAGUGACAUUCUGCAGUAACCUCAUGCUACACUCAACAACAAAUCACAAGACAUCGUUUCUUGAUCCGACGGCUGCGCGGGCCAGCCACAUCCCACGCGGCACUGCGCGCCACGAGUCGGAACCGACCCGAACCAGCGCAGCGCAGCGCAGAGCAGAGCGGACACGCUAGCUCGCGCGCGCGACGCGCCGACGCAACACGGACGGCCCCGCAAACCGACGCCGCGAGCCGCCGGAACGGAAACGCGGUGAGGGCGGCGCCCUGGGCCCCACCCUGAGCCCGCUCUCGGUCCGCAGCCAGCCAGACCUCACCUUCCUUCCACCUCUCCCGCGUGGGCCCCACCAUCCACCUCACCUGUCACCCUCGCCGCCCCCACCCCCUCGUGCUCACUCGUGGUGUAUAUAUUCCAAGCCUCGCCAGCGGCGUCCCCAUCCAUUCUCGCAACUCGCAAGCGCCAACAGCAAAGAACAAGCGAGCGAGAAGCUAAAGCAAGAAGCCGUCGAGGACGUGGAUCAAGCGAUCCAUGGCGCCGAAGAGGUCGACUUCGCCGGCCGGAAGCAGCAGCAGCGGCAGCGGCGUGUUCGCGCCGGCGGCGGCGGCGGAGCAGCAUCCAAGGCUCCGUGGGGUGCGGAAGCGGCCGUGGGGCCGGUACGCCGCGGAGAUCCGGGACCCCGUGCGCAAGGCGCGCGUGUGGCUCGGCACCUUCGACACCCCCGAGCAGGCGGCGCGCGCCUACGACGCCGCCGCGCGGAAGCUCCGCGGGCCCAGCGCCACCACCAACUACCCCGCCGCCGACGCGAAAGGGGCGGCGAGCGGGAACACCGUGCUGUCGGAGGACGCGUCGUCGUCCUCCUCGUCUUCCCGGGACUCGCCGCUGGCGGUGACGGUGGCCGUCGCGGCGGCGCCGCCCCCGUCGCUGGACCUGAGCCUGGCGCUCCCGACCACGCCAUCGUGCUGCCAGAUGUUCCUGGACCCGACGAUGAUGGUGGCCGGUGCGCCGGCGCUUCUGCAGUUCCUGCCGCCGAAGAGCGAGGAGGGGCAGAGCUUGUCAUGUUCAUCGUCGUCGUCGGUGGUGCUCGACGCGGCGCCGGCGGCGGGCCUGGGGCUGGACCUGAACCUGGCGCUGCCGGCACAGAUGGUGGUGUAGCGACAGGCUAAUCAGUUGGUUAAUUACAGUAGGAAUUAGCUGAUCAUGAAUCAGAGGCCAGCCAGUGUAAAUAGGGCGCAGAUUUGUGAAUGCAGCCCAUCUUUUUUCCUUUCUCUGCAUCUCUUCUUCCAACCCAAUGAUGCAAAAACAGAGGACAAUUUCCCUUCCAGGGCAUAAUCUUGUUUUUUUUCUGCUAUUAUAUCGAUCCGUUCGUUCAAAAAAACAAUUAACAAUCUCGCAUUUUGCCAAUCUCACGGCUCCAGCAGCUCCUGAAACCUCUGAAAUUCCGAAUUGAACUCUGCAGCUUCGCACCAGGACACGGUGUUCGGAGGAGGCUCGGAUGGCAUGCAUGGAACUGCCAGUUCCGCGACGUGCACGGCGGAUAUGCUCCGGAACCGGUGGUGACCUCAUGCCGGUAGUGAGCGGUUGGCGGCGUCACGACCACGUACGCGUCGCCGGCGGGGCAGGUAGGACGUGGACGUGGUCUGGAGGCGACGCACGCGCCAUGUCGGCAGCGCAGCUAGGCAGGCGGUGGGAUGAUACGGCACGCGCCACGAUUACGGAGGCGGUGGCGACUCGCGAGGCGUGCGCGCACGGCACCGACCGGGGGGCCGGGGCCGAGAGCGCGUGGGCGCGUGGCGUGGCGGCUGCAGGCCCGCCCCCCCCCCCCCCCCCCCCCCCCCCCCCCCCGGGGUCAGCGCCUCAGGCAGCCCUCAGCGGAUGCGAUCGGAGCGGACGAAGAGAAACCGAUGGCACCGAACGUGCGUUCGUUCGGGCGGCGGGCUGGGCCCACCACCGUGCCGGGUCAGCUGUCCGGCCGACCCCAUCAGCCGCCCAGAGCGGCCCGCGGUUGACCCCACCCAGCUGGGUUGCACGCGCGAGCGAGUCGCUUUCGCUCCAAGCCACCGAACGCCGGCCAUCAAGCAGCUGCAUGGAAGGAUUCCGAAUUCUUUCAAAGCUAACCAUUCUCUUUUAAUUGGCUCCUCCUCUCUAUGCUCGAGCUACAUGGAAUGAUGGCACGAAUGUUUGCUAGGGCCUUGUUUAGUUGGGGAAUUUGGGAGGUGCCAAAUUACUGUUACAGCACUGUAGCACACUGUAGCGUUUCGUUUGUAUUUGUGAAUUAUUGUCCAAAUAUUGACUAAUUAGGCUCAAAAGAUUCGUCUCGCAAAGUACAACAAAACUGUGCAAUUAGUUUUUAAUUUCAUCUACAUUUAGUACUCCAUGUAUGUACCGCAAGUUUGAUGUGAUGGGGAAUCUUCUUUUUGCAUAGUGUCAAAGUUGGGAGUUGGGAGUAACUAAACAUGGUCUAGGUAUUGGGCAUUUUUUAUUUUUUAUUAACCAUUUGCAGAGAGAACAAGCCGUCUCUACGAAUGUAUUUGCAGCGUCGGUCAAUACCACCACCUCUGUAGUUGCUGGCAUUUGCACAGGCCUUAUGUUAGAGGUGGUUCGUGAGGCUGCCUCAAAUGUUUUGACCGACUUUAAGUUGGCUUCUUUGGUAGUGUGGGUCAUUGUAGUAUUUGGCAUCGUUCAUCACAAUGUGAUGUCAUGUGUAGUCCACAAUGGGGGUAUUUGUAGGUGGUACAGGAGAAGGGAAAACAGGAUUACAAAGGCCUUGUUUAAUUCCACCUAAACUCCCAAUUUUGACACUAUGCAAAAAGAAGAUUCCCCGUCACAUCAAACUUACGGUACAUGCAUGGAGUACUAAACGUAGACGAAAUCAAAAACUAAUUGCACAGUUUUGUUGUACUUUGCGAGACGAAUCUUUUGAGCCUAAUUAGUCAAUAUUUGGACAAUAAUUCACAAAUACAAACGAAACGCUAUAGUGUACUACAAUGCUACAAUAGUAAUUUUGGACAUCCAAAUUCAGGGCAACGCCACACUGGCCUUAUUCUACCUACUACAUUCUGUAAUAUCGGAGGGCAUUGCAGGGAUUUUACCCAGGCGGAGGCAGAAUAAUGAUCCUCACUUCGUCAUUGAAUAUUCAUUAUGGCUGCACUUGCUACACUCUUGAUCCUCCUUUUGCCUUGCCAGCGCCCGUUACCCUUCCAGACUGCCGCCACUGGGCAUUAAUUUGUAGGCCCGGUUUGAUGUUUGAGACACAAAUGCCCCUAGGAAUGAUUUUCCAAUAAAAAAAUGACCGUAAGAAGUAGCAAAAAAAAUCAGAGAAGCAAACUAGCCAAAGAUCCAAGUCCCCGCCUGCGACGAUUUUUUUGGGCUAAAUAUGCACAACCUCUUACCUCAUGUGAGGCCUCUACCACCAUCGUUUUCUACAUUUGACCCGCUCGAGUUCGUAUUUUCAAACAAAUUUGAAUUCGGUACGAAAUAUGGUAUGCCAAAUUCUAAAACAGGAUGGAAACUGUUAAGGUAUUAUCCCAACCGUUUUCUACUUUUCCACUUUUAUUCGGGAUAUCCCGUUUUUGAAAUAUGGUAUAUACCGCUUUUGGUCCACUAGGCGCAAUCUUAUAAAAAAAUGUAUCUUUUUCAUACGGAUGAAGACGAUUAUUUUUACAUGAAAAAUUGUAAUUGUGGUUCUCGACGAGAUCUACGAUUUUUUAAUUUUGAGUUUUUUCAUUUCAAGUCGUUAAGAUGCUCAAAAAAUUAAAUAAAGUUUCAGCUGUAUAUUAAUCGCGUUCCAGCACUUGUCGUCUUAGAAAAAUCAUAUCUUUCUUAUAUGGUGUGAAAUGGAGAUACUUUUUAUAUGAAAGUUGUAGCACUUGGUCCUACCGGUCGGUAUUCCGUAUUUAUUUUUCAUAUACUGACCAUGUUCGAUAUAAUUCCGCUUGAAUUAGUUCGUUUUCAAAAUUAUUGAUAUUCCAUAAGUUCGGGUUCAUUUUUGUGUCCAGCUUUACCGCUUUCGCUUUCGUUUGCGUAUUCAAAUGUAGAAGUAAAAAAUAGUUGAGGGAUUUUUCGACCGUUUCCAUCUGUUUUCAUCCCUACCUACCACCACAUCACACACUCACUUGUAUCCAAGUAUAUGAUGCUAUUCUUUUGUAUAUUAACUUCUAUAAAUCUUGUUUGAACGUCUAGGGAUCUAAAUAAGCUAAAACAAAAAAUUAUCAAAUAGAAAUUUUAGAUAUCAACCCUGCAACUUUGGUACACCGCGUAUCUCCAUCCGAGGCCGUUUGAUAAUUUCAAAGAAAAUGAAUUUCGACGACUACAUGAGGCAGUGGCCUCCUCGGUGGGGUGUAGUCUGCUUCCGUCAGGUUCCUGUCAACGCAAGGUCACCCAUGGAAGUUUCGACGACUACAUGAGGGUGUUUGUUGGUGGGUGCCGCGAAUAUUACAAAGACUCCGAUUCUGCUGCUAUGGCGAGUGGAGUUGUUACCGUGUUGACGUCCCAAUCCAACCGAGCAACCCUUUCUUUAUUUUUCUUUUCUUUUCUUUUUCCUGCCUAUAGCCUCUCAGGGUUGUAGUCUUGUACUAUAUCAAUAAAACACGCACUAUCCUGUGCAGUUCGUUCAAAAAGAGACAUAUAUAUUAUAAUGAGGGUCCAUGGUAGCUUGUUCUUAGUUAUGGAUGGAAAAUAAUUUCAUUUCCUUUAUUCUUGAUUGGUCCAAAUAGAUGAUGGAUUACAAUCCAUUGUGUAUGAAUGGUGACGAGAUUAUACAGGACAGAAUGAUCGAUAUAAGCCCUCUGGUCAAAUGAGAUGGAUGAUACAUAACCUUUACUCUUACUCCGUGAUCUAAAUUUUUCGUUACCCUGCUACAUAUGCUUUAAGAUACAUGGAAAUGAAUAAUUCAUUAGAGGCAAAAUCGAGCCCAGCUAUGGUGGCUUGUGCUGCGCACUCUGUGCUACACAUAUCUAUCUCGGCUGAAGCUCUGAGAUCGACAUCUCAUUCUCUGAAACCGAGGUUGUCGAGGACUGUUUACCGUUAAUCAGCGGCACGCCAUCAGAGAUCUCAACACUGGAUCUUGAUGGGUGAUCUGAUUCAGUGAAGCCCGAGCUGAAGACGAAGGCUGGCCUAGACGGGGCACGAUGUCUGUCAUCAGACGUGGAGGUCGGGCUGCUGAGCAUAAGCACCACCGCAGAGGCGUCUGGUCGGUCCGCUGGGUUCUCCUGGACACAUAGGAGACCGAUCUCUAUGCAGUUGAGUAGCUCGCUUUCCGGGUACCCUGACUCCGCUAGCGCUGGGUCUACCACAUCCACCAUGGAACCAGCUCUCCACUUGUCCCAUACCUGAACAGAGAUGAUCCAUCGUUGUACGUACAUUUAUGUGAAACAAAUAAUGUGACAUGGGAAUAUCAUAUCCUUACAUGGCCCAGAACAGAUAUGGAGUCUGAAUUGUCGUUGUAUGCGCUGUUGUUCUUUCGCCCGGUCACAAUUUCCAGGACUAUGACCCCGAAGCUGAAUAUGUCUGACUUGGUUGAAACAUGCCCCCAAUAGGCAUACUCUGGGGACAUGUACCCGCUGCAUGCAUCAAUGAAUUGAAAGGACUCACUAAUAAUCAAUCAAGGGUAUUGCCAGAAUUUUCAGGUUGCUAGCUAUUGGUAUACUUACAGUGUUCCAACAGGUCGUCUUGUUAUAUCUCUAGUUUGGUCUCCACCGAAAGCCCUGGCGAUGCCAAAAUCUGAAAUUUUGGGGUUCAUCUUUGCAUCAAGCAAUACAUUGCUUGGCUUUAGAUCUCUGUGAAUGACCUUCAAGCGGGACUCCUCGUGGAGGUAGAGAAGUCCUCGUGCGAUACCGCAGAUGAUGGAAAACCUCUUGCUCCAGUCGAGCUGUUGCCGUCUCACUGGAUCUGCACGCAUGGACACAACGAGGAGCAGAACAAAUAUGGGAAGAUGAAUCUGUGAGAGAUGUCUUAUUUUGAAUCUGAGCAGUAGCUUGAUGGAUACCAGAAAGGAAGGUAUCUAGGCUUCUAUUGGGCAUGUACUCGUAGAUGACCAGCUUCUCUUCUUGCAGGGACACGCCCAAGAGCCGCACUAGGUUCCUGUGCUGAAGCUUGGCAGCCAGAACAAGCUCGUUCUUAAGCUCUUGGAAUCCCUGUGAGGAGUUCUGUGAAAGCCUCUUCACAGCUAUCUCUUCCCCAUCUUGUAAUGUACCCUGCACAAAAGAAAAUACCUGUUCUUACAUUUUCGUGACACUACACUGCAAUUCACGAUAGUACUAGUUCUGUCACGAUGACUGUACCUAGCUAGUACAUUAUACUACUUCUCAUUUGUGUGUCUAUACAUAUAGGUGAAAAUGUACCUUGAACACUUCUCCAAAACCUCCCUCUCCAAGCUUGUUUUCUUCCGAGAAAUUGUCGGUUGCAUCUCUUAACACCGCUAGAUUAAGUUGCUCCGGCUCAACAUAUCCGAUGUCCUCUUCUUUGCUACUGUUGUCGUCUGUCAAAAAAAUAGUAUGCAAAAGACUGGCAUUAUUAUUAAGUAGAAUCAUGUUAGCUCCUUUUUUUUGUAAUAAGUAAAGCUCAUGGAAAAAUAAUCCUCAAUACCAAGCGCAAAUUUUGUGGGGCCAUCCGGCCAUGCCUGCAUGUACACAUAAAUGUUUUCAUGCUCUGCCGGUCAAAAUAUAGCACUGGUGCUGAUGGCCCUUAAUUUCCAACCGGUUAGGGAGAUGCUGGGUUGAGAAUGUAUUUAGCUUUGAUCGAGGGGCACAUAUUGGUGCAAUGGAACUAUGGAAGAUCAAAGAUCCCGCGGCACAUGAAUGACUUCAUGAUAACCUUAUUGAGCAUUUGUGGCAGCUCCAUGGCAGUGUGUGAUGCUCCUUUCUUCAUAUUUGUUUUGGAUUAUUUACUUGAUGCAUUUGGACCAUGCAUAUUUAUGUUUGAAUUUCUGCAUUUCAAACUUAGACGAAUCAUGUGUGAUAGAAACAUCCCGUAAUUAUUCGGACAUGAACAUAGCGUAUUUGUAACUUUUAUGUGCAAGUACAUAGCGAAAUAGUGUUAAAAAGACGAUUAUAUAUAUUGGGAACCUGCUCUAAUAAUCCUAAAAAUUAUGUCCCAGUACUAUCUGCUCGGUUGCUGUAACUGAACUCUGCUGCACCCAGUAAAAUGGACACGGCCAGAAACAAAUAUCAACUGAGGUUUUAGGCGUACGCGUACCUGGCGUUCUCUUUCGAUUGGCAUUUCUUCUGCGUAAGAAAACACCAAGGAUGACGAGUGCAAUAAGGACCGUUGCACCACCAGGGAGGGCGAUGGCGAGAGUCGAACCAAGCCCCUUUUUUCCUGCAUUUGAGUGAGGUAUUACCACUGUCGGUCAGGUCGUGCUUUCUUUUUUUACUCGUGUCACGUCUGCUUCUAGAUUGCCGUCAACUUGUCCUACACCCUCUAUACUGCCCUACAGUGAUUUCACGAUGGGACACUGCUGCAGACCGGGUUGAUGCAUUAUUGGUUAUAUUUGCCGAGAGGUGACCGAAAUUUUAAUUGCUUUCAGUCAACGAACAGAAUAAUAUAUGAUAUGUCUAUACAACAGUUGAAAGCUAGAUUACUGAUUAAUAAUCUAUCAUUUUUUUGGACCCUAGAAUUAAGAUCCAACGGCCUAUACUUUGUCCAUUCGCUACGUCACUGUUUGCGGCCGGGCACAUCAUGAUCUAAUCGGCUACCCUGAGCACCAUGGCGCCGCCUGUUGUGUUUCUCUGCCAGCGAGGGCAGACGGCAGUCAAUCUUCCGUGUCUACGGAUCUGCCUUGAAUCGCCAUCCUUAUCCGUGCAUCCUCUUUCUUGUUCAAUAAUUUUAUUUCGCGGUGCCCCCGCUCUGCCUCCAGCCACAAAUCUCCCAAUCUCUAAACCUAAAAUUGAAAACCCAAACUUCAUCAAAGAAGAUAGCGUUGCUGACUCUAAAUGUUAGGAACGAACGGCGUAUGGAAUAUGAAGUAAAGAAUCAAACCACAAAGGAGACACACGAUUUACGUGGAAAACCCCUUCAAUGUGAAGAGGAAAAACCACGGGCACCAGCCGGCAACAAUCUCACUAUAUCAAGAGUUUGGGGUUACACGCCUAUGGCGGCUUACAAGAGAAUCUGAUGAUCUCUCUCUCUCUUCUGUUGUUCUAUCGCAUGAAACCCUAGCAAGGGUGUCGGUAUAUAUAGUACCGAAACCCCAGACAGGGGGUAUUGAGCGGUACGGACUCUUGGUCCCGUGCGAGGAUGGAACUCCUCCUCGUCCGACCCUGAGUCCUUCGUCCUGGAGUCGGAUGCGCCUGGGACUCCGCCUCGCCCGACCUCAAGCCUGGGGUCGGAUGCGCCUGACCCCUUGAGGGUCGAUCUCCGACUCGCCCGACCCCAAAGUCCAGGGGUCGGGAGACGCUCCGCCUCGCUCGACCCCGAGUCCCGGGGUCGGCAGAUUCUCCGCCUCGCCCGACCCUGAGUGUUAAGGGUCGGGAAGGUCGGCCUUUAUCCUGGAGUGAAUUUGGAACAACUCCAACACUAAAUCUGUCCAUGAAUAUCUAGUAUUGUUCUAAAUCAAGGUUCUAAAUCUCCGGCAGCUGCCAACUCUAAAUCUAUCAAUGAAUAUCUAGUAUUGUUCUAAGGCUCUGUUUGGCAUGGCUCCAGCUCUGGGUGGAGCUGCUUUACUCCAAAACUUCAGGUAGAGUCAGCUCCACUCCAGAACUCCAGAAAUAAAAUGGGAUGUUUGGCUAGAUGGGUACUCUCAGCUCCAAAAAAAUCAAUUUCAGUGUUAAUUGCCAUUGGUGCCCCCAAUUCAGGCCCCACUUGUCAUCCUCUCCCCCUCCUUUCUUCCUCCUUUCUUUUUCCUCUCUUUGCCGUUGCCCACUGGUCACCCGAAGGAAGAGGAGGGGAAGGCACCAGCAGGUGGGUGGUGCUGCCGGCGGCAGGGGGUGCGGCCGGCGGCGGGGCUAGCGCGGGCGGCGGGGGGUGCGGCCGGCGGCGGGGCUCGGGCGGGAGGCGGUGGGAGCGGCCGGCGGUGCGGGCGGCUGGCGGCGGGGCUCGGGCGGGCGACGGUGCAGGCGGCUGGCGGCGGAGCUCCAAGGCCGGAGCGUGCUGGACGGAGGGGCCACGGCGGCCGGUGGCGGGAGCAACGGGCGGCGCUAGCGCGGUGGAGACCGGUGGAGAUGAGCGCGUGGAGUCUCGGAGGAAAAUAGAACAAACCGUUUUUUCUAUGUAACCAGUGGUAUUGGUGGGUAAUUAUCCACCAACUCCACGAGGAGGUUCAAAAGAGUGGUUUCUGGAGUAGCAAAAGAGGUGCUCCAAAACUCCACCUCCAUUUGCACUACAGCUCCAUGGAGUUUUGGAGUUGGGGUGUUUGGCUGAAUUUUUUGAUGGAGUUGCUAGAGUUUAGGAGUGAAGCUGUGCCAAAUAGGACUUAAAUCAAGGUUCUAAAUCUCCGGCUAUAGCUGCCACUGUAGCUAGAGAUAGCUGCUGGAGAAGGAAGCCGUUGAUUUUAGCAUUACGAGUUCGCUGCCGCUAAUAGCUGCUAUUAGCCAUAUUCCCUCAAUUAGCUGCCGCUAAAGGACUUGACGGGCCAAAUUGAAGCACAGGCUUAGCGCAAGCGAACAAACUUGGCAGGCAACGCGCUCGGCCCGCCAAGAAUUUCAGCCCAGAUUUCAUCAUUUUAGGCCAUGUAUAGGCAGGCAAAUCCUUCCCCACUCCUCUCGAGUCUGUCAACUCUGUCUCAGACUCUCCACUCCCCUGAAAGGCAGCGGUGGCGUUGACUGCGCGGCCGCCGGCGGCGGCGGCUGCGCCCGGCCCUGGAGACGAGGAAGACUAGCAGUCUAGCACCCUCUCUAUUUCCUACUUUUCUCCCCUAAGCGACGGCUGCUGCUACAACCCACCAAGGCGGCGGCGACUGCGACGGUGCCAUGGUCCACCGGCGGCUGCUUCGUUUGAGGCUGCAACGCGAGGCAAGGAAGAACCAGCACGUGCUCUGUUCCCCUUUCCUCCUCUGAUUCUGGUAUCCUGGUGACUUUUCUGAUGGGCAGAUGAUGCAUUGCCUCUAUGGUUUGCCUCUGUCCUGUUUUCAUGCUGUGAUGAACUGUGAGUGCCAAGUGUUCUGGACUGAAACACGGUCCACUGUCCUGUAUAUUGUGCUAUACUCCUGUGAGAACUGAGAAGCGAGAGCUGAUGACUUGGUGAUGAGAUGAAUUAGUGAAGUAAUGGUGUCACAUUUCUGAUUUUCUUAACCUACAUUUACAAAUCCGCUAAAUUGCUUAGCUGUAGCUAUAGCCGGCUAUAGCUGCUCUUAGGCCUAGCCGGAGAUUUUAAACACUGUUCUAAAUUAAUAUACAAAAUUUGAAGUAUAGAGAUUGUAUCUAUUUGAAAUGCAAUAUGUAAGCAUGUCUCUGUUUGCAAAUAUGUGACAUUUAGAACAUUGAUUAUAAACCGGUUAGUUUAAUUGAACUAAUUAGCUCGUGCUAAACAUCAUAUAUCUGAAAAAGAAUGAAAAUUUGUAGUGAUUGAGAAGCUCACCUGCACUUUGUCCGAUGAAGUUGGACGGAGCUGGCGCUGGAGGGGGCGGUGGAUCAAGCUUGAGAUCAUAGUAGGUGUACAUCUCCAUGCGAAGGUAGCAGUUGUAGCCGAGCACCACCCCACCCAGGUUACCAUAGCAGCAGCUAGGCAGCCGUGGCACCGAGUCCUGCAAGCACUUGUCGCACUCCGCCGCCGUCAGAUCCCUCAUGCACUGCAUCAGCCCGUACAUGGUUCCGUUGGGGACGCCGGGGUCAUACACGGCCUCCCCCGUCGCGAACAUCGGCGCCUCCGGGAAGGAGGCCGGCGCGGUGUCGCCGGAGCCGUUGACGACGCGCGCGGCGAGCCGCGUCAUGAGCGUGUAGUAUGUGUUCUCGAAGGCGCCCUUGUCACGGGCCUCCCCCGUGUUAUGCAUUUCGUGGCGGUACUUCUGCUCGUCGGGCGUGGACGUGUUGGUGUCGGCAAAGCUGACGAAGCAGAACAUCGGCGCCGGAUAUGUCACGGUGGAGCCGUCGUCGUACCAGAUGGCGGCGCGGCGGCUGUUGCUGUUGCAUCGGCUCCGGAUGCCCAUGGCGGCGCUCCGGAGGUACCUGGCGCAAUCGCCACCGGCGGAGUCGCCGCGGCAGAUGCCUCGGACGAAGGCGCGGUUGGUGCCGUUGCCGCGAGACAGGGAGGCGAAGCCCGUCGGUGCUGCUGCAGACGGUAGCGCAUCCAGUAACGCGACGACGUUGGUCCAGAACGUGCUGUUAGUGGCGGUGGAGGAGGAGGAGGAUGGCGGCGGCGGCGGCGACGGCGACGAGGGAGCAGGAGAUGGCGCCGCCGACGUUUGGCAGUGGACCAACGUGAACCGGCUGUCCAUGGACAUUACGAAGGUAGAGAGGCUCGCCACCAUGGCAAGGAGGAGCAGGCAACGGCCCUGGCGGUGGCCGGAUGGAGACGACGGCAUGGGUGGUGUUCUGAUCGAGGAAGUAGCUAGGAAGUUAACGGCAGUGGGUGAUCAUGGCAGCCUGAGUGGUCAUCACAGUUGGAUGCAUGAUUGGCGUAGACAGGCCAUUUGGCGAAGACUUGACUUGACUUCACGGUAUACUGAUAAUGGCAUGAUUUGUUCGGUGGACCUUCUCCAUCCCUGUAGAAUGCAGAGUCGUCGGGCGUCAGGUUGCAUGCAGAUGCACUUGCAGGUUGAUGUAAGUAGUGGUUCAUACAUUGAUAUGAUUGCUAUUAGAUUGAGACAGUAGUAACUAAGGGGGGUGUUUGGAUACGAGGUGUUAAACUUUAACAGUGUCACAUUGGAUGUUCGGAUGCUAAUUAGAAGAACUAAACAUGAGCUAAUUAUAAAACUAAUUGCAGAACCCUGUGCUAAUUCGCAAGACGAAUCUAUUAAGCCUAAUUAAUCCAUCAUUAGCAAUUGGUUACUGUAGCACCACAUUGUCAAAUCAUGGACUAAUUAGGCUUAAUAGAUUCGUCUCGUGAAUUACACUCCAUCUGUGCAAUUAGUUUUGUAAUUAGCCUAUGUUUAAUACUCCUAAUUAGCAUCCAAACAUCCGAUGUGACAGGUGUUAAACUUUAACACAUGGUUGCCAAACAUGCCCUAAUUUGUUCAGUUUCAUCACUUCAUGGGGAACUUUAUAUGGUGUUAGGAAUGCACUAACCAUUAUUUUACUGCACCUUUUAUCUAAUCAGUGUAAAUUUCAUUUUCUAUUCUUUUCUACUAUCUCAGGUCUAAGAAACUAGCAGGUGUACCACUUGAAACCAACUUAUGACACAUACAAAAUAACAAUCUUAACGGUGUCUCUGGGUCGGUCAAUCCAACACCAUGUUCACUAACAUGUGUUCAUGUUAUUAAUCCGAUAUCUCUAUAUCUAGGAUCCAUGAAAGGUGAUCAUCAAUUAAUAAAUGUGCUAGUCUGUGUGUCAUUAUUGUCCCACAUAAUGAUAUAGACUAGGAAUCGUUUAGAAUAACAUGAUAAUCAACAAAGAGUUCCAUGAACCAGUCACAUACUUGAUAAUCAGUGUAAAUGAUAGUUACUCAAGGAACAAAUAACACUUUAUUCAAUAGGACAUAAAUAUAGUCAUGAUACAAAUCUUGCACACACACUAGGAUCAUUGAUGCAAGUAUCUAAUACUCAUAUAUUUGUUGUGCACUCCGCCACCUCAUGCACUGCAUCAGCCCGUACAUGGUUCCGUUGGGGACGCCGGGGUCAUACACGGCCUCCCCUGUCGCGAACAUCGGCACCUCCGGGAAGGAGGCCGGCGCGGUGUCGCCGGAGCCGUUGACGACGCACGCGGCGAGCCGCGUCAUGAGCGUGUAGUAUGUGUUCUCGAAGGUGCCCUUGUCACGGGCCUCCCCCGUGUUAUGCAUUUCGUAGCGGUACUGCUCGUAGGGCGUGGACGUGUUGGUGUCGGCAAAGAUGACGAAGCAGAACAUCGGCGCUGGAUAUGUCACGGUGGAGCCAUCGUCGUACCAGAUGGCGGCGCGGCGGCUGUUGCUGUUGCACUGGCUCCGGAUGCCCAUGGCGGCGCUCCGGAAUGCGACGACGUUGGACCAGAACGUGCUGUUAGUGGCGGUGGACCAAGGUACUAAAUAGCGGCGGUAGCGGCCGCAAUAGCGGUAGCGGCCUAUUGCCGCUAUCGCUACUAGGUUAGCGGUCGGGCUGUUGCGGUUUGGAAUUUUGCGACCGCAAUUGCGCUAUAGCGGGCCACAAUAGCGGUGGUAGUAAGCUGCAAUAACGUGGAACAAAAAAACCCUCCCAACCUACCCACACAGACUCCACCAGUGCACCCCCAUCGGCCAAUCGGCCUUGCCAUCCAGAACACGCCGCCGCCACAAUAGCGGUGGUAGUAGGCUGCAAUAACGUGGAACAAAAAAACCCUCCCAACCUACCCACACAGACUCCACCAGUGCACCCCCAUCGGCCAAUCGGCCUUGCCAUCCAGAACACGCCGCCGCCACCCGUGUUGGUUGCCCGCCGCCGCCACCCUUCACCGGUGCCGCCACCCUUCGCCAGCGCCGCCGAUUCACAUACUCGAGCUCCUCCUGAUCCUCAUGGACCUCCGUCGUCUUACACUCUUAAUUUAAGCAUGUGAGACAUGUAUGCAAUUAAAUAUCUAUUUAUACUUAUUAUUCAUGAUAUAUAUAUAAUUAAAAUUAUGUGAGAUUAUUAGGUGCCGCUAUUGAAACUUAUCGUCCGCAAUAUUGCCCGCUAUCCGCAAUCCGCUACUUCAACGUCAAUCCGCUACCAACCCGCUAUUCGCUAUUUAUUACGGUGGUGGAGGAGGAGGAUGGCGGCGGCAACGACGGCGACGAGGGAGCAGGAGAUGGCGCCGCUGACGUUUGGCAGUGGACCAACGUGAACCGGCUGUCCAUGGACAUUACGAAGGUAGAGAGGCUCGCCACCAUGGCAAGGAGGAGCAGGCAACGGCCCUGGCGGUGGCCGGAUGGAGACGACAGCAUGGGUGGUGUUCUGAUUGAGGAAGUAGCUAGGAAGUCAACGGCAAUAGAGACGACGGCAUGGGUGGUGUUCUGAUCGAGGAAGUAGCUAGGAAGUCAACGGCAAUAGGAGAUCAUGGUAGUCUGAGUGGUCAUCGCAGUUUGAUGCAUAUGAUUGGCGUAGACAGGGCACUUGGCGAAGACUUGACUUGACUUACUGUAUAUUGAUAAUGACACCACUUGUUCGGUGUACCUUCUCCAUCCCUACAGCUAAUGCAGAGUCGUCGGGCGUCACGUUGCAUGCAGAUGCACUUGCAGGUUGAUGUAAGUAGUGGUACAUAUAUUGAUAUGAUUGCUAUUAGAUUGAGAUAGUAGUAACUAAUUUUUUCAGUUUCAACACUUCAUGGUGAACUUUAUAUGGUGUUAGGAAUGCACUUCAUGGUGAACUAAUGGAAGUUGGCAUCCAACAUGUCCAAGCAUUGAAGCGAUUAGUAUAAUCAGUCCAAUGGUCAAAGAAGAAAAAUUUGAUCUCUGAAGCUAGUCCAGUGCUCGAGCACAAGGAUAGACGAAGCCACGGAGGCACGCCAACCAGAAUUAGGUGCCCAGCUUCCAAGGACGAGGACUGGCGGAGCCACCUAGGCACGCCGACCUGAAGUAGGUGCCCAGCCCCCGAGCGUGGGAGCCGGAAGAGUCACGGAAACAUGUCAAGUGGCCUCUUGCUAGAGCCAAAGAGGUUGGCCGGGCGAGAGGAGGCACGCCGAGUCAUCGGCGGUGCUCAGCCCCUGAGCUUGGGAGCCGGAGGAGUCAUCGAAGUAUGCCGAGUCGCCACCUGCCUUGAGCCAAAGAGGUCGGCCAGGCAAUGGGAGGCACGUCGAGUUGUCGGCAGUGCCCAGCUCCCGAGCCUAGGAGCCGGACGAGUUGUUGAAGUACUCCGUGUUGCCGCCUGCCCUGAGCAAGAGAGGUCGGCCGGAUGACGGGAGGCACGCCGAGUCAGCGGCGACGCCCAGCCAUCGAGCCUUGGAGCUGGACGAGUCAUUGAAGUAUGCCUAGUCACCACCCGCCCCGAGCUAAAGAGGUCGGUUGGGCAACAAGAGGCACGCCGAGUCAUCGGGGACGCCUGGCCCCUAAGUCUGGGAGCCGAUGAGUCGUCAAAGUACGCCGAGUUGCCUCCCGCCCAAAGCAUGAGAGGUUGUCCGGGCGACAGGAGGCACUGUUUGUGACCGUUUACCAAUACAUUUAACUCUAUUCAUACCAAAAAUGCAGUUGAAGCUACUAAAAAGUAGCUCACAAUUUGCUGAACGGACUCUACAAUUCCAAGUACGGUAAGAAGUAUAAUAACAGUUAAAAAGACCAUACACACCCGUUGAGACCUCGGCGUCUUUCUCUCUGAUCUUCUGGAGAAUGAUAUCGCCAAGUGUGAGCUCGGCAGCUUUGUCCUUUGACAUCCCUCUCGUCCUCCUCGUUGAUCACCACCUACCAAUACCACAAAGCCAGCAAAUUCACAACUCAGACACAAGCUCAGCCACUCUGCAAUAGUUAGUUACUCAUUUUUAGUCUUGCAAGCAAGCCACGCACCUCGCCGCCGUCGUACUCGCUGAGCGCGUCAAACCCGUCGAACUCGUCGACGUCGUCGUCCUCGUCGUCAUCAGCUGCGGGGACGGGGAAAGAGGACGACGUGGACGGCCCCGGAGCCGCCUGGGCGUUGGCGUUGGCGGCGGCGGCGGCGGCUGAGGGCCCCUCGUCACUGGAGUCGGCGAGCAUCCCCUCCUGCUGCUGCUUGCGCGCCUCGCGGAGGAUCAUGGCGCUGAGGGAGGACGGGAUGGACGCCUCCUAGCUCGUCCGCCUGGUGCUGCUUGGCGGCGCCCGAGCGGCGGCGACCCCGUCGGCAUCGGCGCCCAGCCGGAGGCGGUGCUUCGGCUGCUUCUCGGAGCCGGACUUGCGCUUCUUCCCCGCCAUGGCUUCGCGGACUCGCUGGGGCGGCGGCGGCGGAGUCGGGCGCGGGCGUGUACUGUCGUGGGCUCGCUCGCUCGUGCGCACCGUGCACCGCGCCGCGCGUUUGAAUGGACAUGGGCUGGGCCUGAUAUUACCGGGCCGAGCUACUUUCAGCCCAAUACUUGCCCUCUGCUGGCUUGCGUUGCGUGGCUGUCAUCAUUUACAGGGCAGCUUUGUUUUUUCCCUCAAAGAAAAAAAAAGGGGGAAAUUUCCACGUAUCCGAUACUGAGUCAAUAUUCAUCUUGUAAAUGAUGACAACCAAUAUCAAUCCUUUAGAAAGUCAUUUGAGGAUUUACAGCAACAGCCACCAGCUGAGGAUACUUGAACCUGAAACCUGGAUCUCAUCAUCACAGAUUUAAAAUAAGGAAACAAAGAUCACUCCUGGGUUUUACCCACUAACUGUGUCUGUGCCGCGUUAAUCAUAUUACUACAAAUGGAAUUUUCACUAAUCUAAACCAAUCUCAAAUGUCUACAAUGUAUGCAGCCGUCUGCAGAUGCGAUUGCAUCUUCUUUUUCAUCUUCGAUUAGAAACGCCUUGUGGCAUGCGUACGAGACAAGGCACGGCACAUGAACCAUCGCCAUGUUGGUAAUGGUAGACUUGUGUGGGGCAUUUGCAUAGAGGAGCUUUAUGCACACGAAUUGCUUGUUCCAUCCAAGAGGAAAAACAGGGUCAUUUUUCAUCUUUGCCUGCGGAGGAACUCCCUCAUUUCAGGAUGGAACUCCCCUCGUACAAUCAGCCUCAUUCUCUUAGAGUCCUCCCACAGCAAGUAUCCAUGAUCUCUUGCGUGAUCACAGCAUUGUUCAAACCAUUCCUGCAUAAGAAGCAGAAUUAAGUAAACUGUCAGUUUACAGGAAAAAACACUCAGGAGCACAGUAAGCAAAUUAAUGUCUGACGAUUGCCCUUUGCCAAAGAUGCAGAGAAGAAAUAAUACUGCGUUUACCUUGCUAGGAAAAUCUUCAUACAAAUGUGAUGGAAUCAUCUCAACCCUGUUACGGUCAGUUUCCCACAGCCUAAUCUGCAUAGGUGAGUAUUGAAUUACUCAUCCACUAUAUUGUUUCUGCACACUAACUGAUGGCUGCCCAACAGAGAGAGAAUUAUCGCUUCUCACCUGAUCAGUGACAUUCUCCGGAACAACAGGUAUCUUGUCAACAACACGAGGGUGAGCAUUUUGCCUAAGAAAUGAAAUUAUCUGGAAAAAAAAAGACGAUAGAUCUUGAAACAAGAUGCAAGCUAGAUAUUAAAUGUAACUGCUUUACCAGACAAAGAAAUAGAAUAGAAGCUAAGCAGGAGGACAAAAUCGUAGCCAAAAUUUACAUGGUGCACAAAAAAUAACCGUAUUAAGUACAGGUGUGUUAGUAUGUGCAAACUGUUAUGGUCGGCAUCACGUACCAGAGGAGGUGGCGCCAGGGGUGAACGCUAUAGUCAGUUAGGAUGCAGCGGCAUAGUUUGGUUUGUUUCAGAUAAGAUUUGGUUUAGAUUUCAUUGUUAUCAGUUUGUUAGCUUAGUUAAGAGAAUCUAGCUGAGUUAGUUGAGUUGUAAUCCUGGCUAUUUAUAUGAAGCCGCCCAACAGAAUAAUCAAGCCAGAAUUAAUCUACUUCCUCGUCUCCCGUUCUCUGUUUCUCAUUCCUUGCUGCUCGACGCCACCGCAGCGACCUCCACGUGCUUCACGGGCAGGAAACCGGCAGCCCAGCGGCCGGCAACCUCCCACAGCUAUCCGAUCCACUCACUGCCGCAUGGCCGUGACAACUUGGUAUCAGAGCCAGGUUAACAUAAUACCCCGCUGUCACUUGUCAUUUUGGUUAACAUAUAAUCUCAAACACACAUAUGGUCAUUACAUUUUUAAUUAUAUAUGUGAAUACUCGAUUGUGUGCAGUAAAACAGAAUGGAAGUAGUAUAUUAGACAUUACCUGCUCAGCAGUUAUUCCAUUCUCAAAAGCACCAUAAAUACUUUCUUUUGUAAUAGCUCCCACGAUGAGGUUUGGAAGUUGAUACUCCACCCUGGAAAGAAAAGCAUAUAGUCAAUGAUGUUGUUUCAAAGUGAGUCCACAAACAAAUAUUGGAAUAUUAAUAGCAUACAGGAUAAUACGGCAGAACUAAUCAUGCAAUUAUAAUCAAACCUUUAGAAAAAAUUAAAAAGAAAACCCUGCAAACUGGAGUCAUUCAAAACCACUUUUCUGAUUCAAAUCCUGGAACCUGAAAUCAACUGAGUCGGAUGCAAAAGAUAAAUUCCUACUUGCCACCUACAGAGCAAGCAAUAGUGCAAGGCAGCACAGCGCUGUAUGAACUAAUAUACUACAGCCAACAGUGCAAAGCGGACAUCAAUAUUUUUCAGAUGCAGGUGAUUCAAACAGCUAGAUCUACAAGCUGCCUACAGCACAGUUCUAAAGGUCUUAGCACCUCCAAGCGAUGUCUAUAAAUGUCUUACUCUAUUAAGUUAAAUUUUUUCCCUAGAUAUAGCACUGGAUUACUCUAGAAACUUAACCUGUGCAGUCUAAUUUAUCAGGUCCACAGUACAACUAAACAAGCAGCUGCGUGGAAUUCACAACUGCAACCACUGACCAGUCUACUGGGAAUGUCAGAUCAACUGAAUUGGCAUGUACUCAAGUGGCAUCAGGUAAAGAAGCUUUAAGAAGAGUACAGAGCCCAUGCAGUUAUGACCGAUCAGUUGCUCCUUUUGCGUGCAACAUAAAUCAUAUAGCACAUUAAUAAACAAAGCAAGUGAUUCCUGAACAGGAGGCAGUGAGCUAUGAUGCCAUAGCUUUAAUGAAAAAGUGGUAGAUUGAGGAGCUAGGUUGUGUCACUCAUAGGGCACCUCAUGUACCUUGAAAAAAGGCGCAGAAUUUCACAGUGCAAUUUGGAGGUAGAGUAUGCAUACAUUCUAAAGUUUGUCUCCAAAACAACAAAGCCCUGCAACAACAUUACAAAUAUCAUCUCUUAGAUUAAAUGUAAUACAUAUCUUCAUUAUGAUCAUUGACUAGGGGACAAGUAGGUAGAAGUUACAGAUAAGUUUUGAAAAACAUAAAUAGUUGCAGUAGGGAAGGAUAUAUUAUGCAACCUCUUUGCUGGAUGAUGAAUCUGACAAGCUUGCUGAGAGAUUUGUAGCUAAUUGGGUAGGAAUGAACCAGCUAUCCUUUCGACCCUGAAAUUCAGUACUCGUCAUCAUCAUCAAGAUGAUCAGGGGAAAAACAAAAAUAAAAUUCAUACCUGCUGCAGUUUGACUAAUCCCAACUCGGCAAGAUCCCUGAUGGCAAUUCGUUCAACAUCAGUCAGAGUGUUCAAACUAUAAGCCUGAAACAUGAACAGGGCAGACAGAAAGUAUGGCCAUGAAAACCAAUGUACCAGACAGGAGACUUCGACAUAAGCAGGUAAAUUUCAUUUUAUUAGACUCAAAACUACAGUGCCUAUCUUAUUUUCAAAUAUUCUUAAGAAGGCAGAUAAGCUUGAUUGUCCUGCUAUGUUAGAUAAAGUGGAACAGUUACAACCUCUUCAAGAUGCUCUUCUCAUAUAUUUCAUUUACACUUCCUUUUCAUAUUCAUGUACUGUAUCUCCAAAAGAAAAGGUGCUCCAGCUAUAGAUUUUUUCAUGGACAUCAGGGGACAAAAAUGUUGACUACUAUCUACAUGUUUAAACAUGAUCUUCAGAAAUAAAGUUCACUUUACCGCUCCCAAUUUAUGAAAACUAAGUUCCAAGAGAAAUGAUAUCAGCUCCGUAGGGUCCACUCCACGUUCCUAUUUAAUAACAUGCAACAACAAAUUCAACAUAAAAAUUACCAAGGUGACCCAAAAUAAAUAUAAGAAUAUGCCACCAAUACCUCUGCAGAGGAAAUGUAUUCUCUCAUUAUGUACCAAAGUUGUGCAUUUGUUUCCAUAAGCUGGUAACAUAGAAAAUAAUAAGAACCAAAUGUGGAAGUAUGUCAAUUAUCGGAUUAGCUGAGAGCUGAGAACUCACAAGAAAUUGGAAGCCAUUCUCAGUCAACUUUGGAGCUUCACCAUCCCUGCCAAUAUACCAAAUCAGAUAACCAUGUCGAUGAAAUUAUUGCUUAUAUCAGUGAAGUGAAGCAAACCUAUGCAAAGCUGGACAGCAUACAGCAGUAUGAAAAUAUGAGAUUUACAUGAGUAUAUUGUCAUCAAACAUGACUUACAAAUAAUCUUAACUAUUUUCACCAAAAAAAAAAGACCAAGCUACUGAACCAAAUUGUCGGCUAGGAUCAUCGGUUAAUCAACUUCUACAUCCAGGAAACCAACAAUUGUCUGUUUACUAACAAUUUGUUGUCAGACCAUAUCAACUUCAAUUUACUAGCUCCAAUUGUCUGUUUAGUGUAUGGCUAAUUAGCUAUGUAUAAAUUUAGAGAAUGCAACUGGUUAUGUUAUCCAAUUGUACUAGAAGAAAUAAAGAGUUGCAGCAAUUUGCCAAUCACUUAUUGUUCAAAAAAACAACAUUUGACUGUACUCAUUUAUAAGAAAUUAACCCAACUAUGAAGACAAGGUAAUUAGAUGGAACCUUGAACUCAGAAGGCCGCGCUGAAAUGUCUUCAUCAUGGAGGAGCUGAAACUUGUUCCUUUUUCGACUUGAGAUGAAUUGAUCAAUUGCAACAAGAAGCACUAUUUUCCCAUAGAAAAUAUAUAUAUAAGCCUUCACUAGGGGAAAUAAACACUGGAAGCCUUCCGAGUGUUUCUAAGAAUCGGAUUCAACAAGGGAAACAAAAAGAUGAUAUAAAGGAAAGUAGAAAGUAGGCAUGUUAAACAAAUUCUGAUUUAAGGUUUGUCAUCCUAACCUCCCAUUGAUCAAGAGCAUAGGCUUCCAGGUCUGCUGAUGCUGGCAAUCUACCAGUGACACUUAACGGUAUCGGUUCCCUUGGUAAACUUCCACUGCAACAAAAGUUAAAAUAAGUAAGAACGGUAUGAUAACUAGUCAAUAUGCUCCACAAAUAGCGCUCAUGGAACAAAAGGAUUCCAGCUCGAGGUAUAUCAUGCUAGAAUUUUUUUAAAAUAAACAUGAACAGACCACUAUACAACAAUCUUCUUUUCAUAUAAACAGUGGUAGAAAUACCAUGCUAGAAUCUAUACUUGACAGAAUUAUUUAUUUAUUUUCUUGGUCACAAAAUACCAUGCGGAAAGAGCUCAAUUUUUUUCCCAUGUGGUAGCAAUAUUAUCAGGGCACAGGGUAAUUUCAUAAGGUGGAAUAAUUACUACUCUUAAAUCUUAACUUGGAGCGUAUAUAUACAUUAUGGAGAGAACAUGCAGUAAUGCUGUAUUGCUGACACCAUCAUAGCAGCUCCAAGUUUGAUAUAGGAUCACCCAUGUGAUUUCAAACAAAGAAAAGAGUAGUUGAGAAAAUCGUACCCGUCAACCAAAUACUUCUGCAUAUUACCCUGGAACUUUUGAUUCAUCUUGUAACUCACCUCCUUUCGUCUAUAUACAGAGUAAAACCAUAAAAGUUAGGAAUGGCCUAAUUUACCAUGCACCAGCAUGCAUGCUUGCAGACCUAAGCAAGUUAAUAGUAAGUUUGCAGUAUUUCCAGAGAAGUCUGCAGCAAAGAGCCGGUUAUGAUUAAUCAAAUCAUUACAAAUCCUCGUUUCUCUACCUUAAAUAAAAUAGUAUGAAUGUCUUCAGAAAUAAGCAAUCAUACCAAGCCAUCAAUGUACAUAAGAAUUCUGUAUAUAUGACGCAUUUCAUAACACGAUCUCUUUCCAUUAGAAAUAUAUAACGAUCUCUUAAGCCGGAGUAAAGAAACAUGCGAAUCUAUUAGUGUCAUUGCUCGACAUGUGUAAAUUUUUGCAUCCACAAACAUGGCAAUCUCAUGAUGAUAAUUUAACAAAUAACAACAUAGCCAUCAAGAGCUCAGGCCUCAAGGUUACCAUAAGAACAUGUAAAUACUGAUCAGACCUCCUAUCAUUACUGCUAUUUCAUAAUGAACAUGUAAAAUGUUGGCUGACUAAAUGAAGGACGUAUCAUGACUUAAUACAUUGUUACAACCACACAUGUUGCCAUACAUGCACAGCUGCACACUGAAUAUACUGUACAGAGAAUGCCACUUGGUUACCAUAGGAAGCAUGCAAAUUUGUGGCUGAAGUGCAAAUUAUUGCUUGCUUUGAACCAAACAUGCAUUAUUUAUUGUCGUGGGGCAAAAAUCUAACAACUUGCUAUCUGUUAAAAUCCAAGCUCCCAUGAAUGCAGAAAAAGGCAAUAAAUGACUCAAAACACAAGAACAAAGACAAGAUAUAUAUCAGCAUAUCACCACUUUUGAGUUUUGAGUUCCAAUAACUGGUCUAGCCCAGGUUAGUUAUGGUCUGCUCAUACGUCAAGCCAUAAAUAUCCUCUUACGGAGAUGGAUGAUCUUACCUAUCACGCACUUCGACAAAGACCCUGAGUUGGAGCAGCUUAUCAAUGGCGACCCUGUGCUUGGAAGCAUAUUCAUCGAGCACCCACUCUUCCAUAGCUGCAGCGGCCACCGGUGCCAACACGUACAGCAUCUGCAGUGCAUACUUCUUCGCUAGUGGCGGGAGUGACCUGCGAACUUUAACUGAAUCAAGAUGAGGAAAUCACUGAGAACGAAUAAUGCAUUGCAGAAAAUGUGGAUUUUGGACCUGAGUACAGCCUCACAGAUGAAGGCAGAGUCAUAGAGCAUGUCAAGCUUGGAGGCAGGCAGCGCAGCCACCAUAUCCAUGAAGUUCCGCGCCACCACCAAAACCUGCGGCAUCUUCAGUGCACCUGUGGAGAACGGAGGGGUGGGUUCUAAAUUCUUCUUUGCAACAAAAUUGGCUAGUUUGAAAUUACAAUCAUCUAAUCAAUCUCAGUUACAAUAUUAAAUCAUAGUUCCUUAACAGCUAAGAGAUACUUAUUUAUCAGAUAGCUUUCAGUUCAAAUUGUGGAGGACUGGGAUCAGUGCGCAUGCGGACUGGUGAAUCAAGCUUGAGGUCGGGUCGGGUCGGGUCUUACCGAUUGAAAAAACCGUGGGGAGGCGGCAGGACCGGAAGAGGAAGGCCGCGGGUGGACAGCGGGCGAGCUCGAGGACUGCGGGGUCGCCGACGAGUUCGGGAGCUCCCUCUCCACACCCUCGGGAGCACACAGGUGGAUGGCAGCGGGGUCCGCGGUGCUCGUCUGUGGACGGAGGCAACGGCCCGGACCUCGCGCCAGUGGACGGAGGCGGCAGACCGCAGCUCGUGGGGGAGGGGGGACGUCAGGGGCCGCAGCAAGGCCUGCGGCGGCGGGAUUGCAGUCGUGGCGUAGCCCUCGUGAAUCGAUCUGACGGCAGGUGGGCGCGCCGGCUAGGAUUUGGGCGCGGGCAAGACAGCGAGCGACGGAGAGGUGAGGCGGCGUGCGACUCGCGGCGCGCCGGCGCGGUGGACGAGCAAGACUGACGCGGCGGCACCCGACGGGGGAAUCGCUGCUGCUGCGCGCCCCUGCUUGGCAUCGGCUUGCAUAGUCGUCUGGCGGCCCAUAGGGGCAGACGGGUUGGGCCAAAAUACUUUUUGGGCCACGGCCUUAGACCCAAAUCUGCAACAUACUAGUAACAGAUCCACACAAUUUUACAUUUUAGACCUUACCUUGGAGAGCAGGGGACGCGGCGGCGCUUGACAGGGGCGGCGCAGCUUGGCAGGGGACGCGGCGGCGCUGUCAGGGGCGGCGCAGUCAGGGGUGCCGGCGGAGGUCAGGGGCGCGGCAGAUUUCAGGGGCGGUGCCGGUGAGAUCCAUCCGGUAAAAAGUGCGGCCGAGAGAGAUGCAUGGCAGGGAGAAGCUGCGGCCGGGAGAGGGGCGGCGGCGGGGGAGGUCAGGGAGCCGGCGCUGCGCCUGGCGUCGGGGGGUCGAGGGGUGAGAGGAGGGAGGGGCGUCGGGGGGUCGGGAGGUGACGAGCGGUGAGAUGAGCACGCGCCAGGAGAAGUGGUCCGUUUUGGAGGAAUGGAUGGGUUGGACCCAACCCACAUCGUCUUCCGACCAAACGCGGGAUGAGACUCCAACCCUCCAACGAAACAUGCGGUUAGUUUAGCAGCUACUGCUGGCUCAUCAAGGUUUUCAAUUAGGUGCAGAAGCUAUAUUUUCUUCUGGAUUAUAUAAUCUUUAUAUAUGAGAUACUGAGAUGCCAAAAAAAAAUGGUAUAACCGAAUGGAGAGUGCAGGCUGCUACUUGUUCACACAAGCCUCCAAAUUGUAGUCAUAUUCUUUGAGUUCCAUAAUGUUCAGUACAAUGUGUCCUGACAAUUAUAUUCGAUCCUUUUUUCCCUUAACCUUGCAUUCAGUACAUGAUCAUCAUAUUUGUGCUUAUUAUACUGGAAGGUGCGAUCACUGUGGAUGUAUGUCUGAAUAACAACUGGGAAGAGGUAAGGAGCUCCUCAGCUGUGAACUAUGAAGGAUCAUUGAGCUCCUAUAUCUGCUAUUUGACGUUUUCAAACCUUCAGGAUUUCCCCCCUGAUCCAUCAGGCAAGUUUGAUGAAUUCAAGGUAUUUGUGAGAUCAAAUUUUGAGGUAUUAUGUUCUCCAGAUCUUUCAAAGUAAUUCUCUUGUGUCAAUGUUGGCCAAUCAAUUACAAGAAGCAAUAUAAUUACUUCUAAAAAAACUGCUAUGAAAUACAUUUUUUGCCUUUGUUUCAUGGAAAAUAAAAAUAUGGAUCUGAGAGAAAAGCCCUAAGUUUUUGAAUGAAAAGCAUUAAAAAAGUGAUUAACCUGUUCCUGCCUAAGUUCUAUUAUAUGGAUUGCUUCCAUUGUUAAUAGGUCUGUCCCCCUGGUACCUCCUUAAUCAGCUAUCUUAUAGAGUGGGACUGUGGAGGUAAGAUAAACAACACAUCAGAAAUUUGAAUUGUGCAUGUCAUGCUAUCAGCUUCCAGGAAAUAUGAUUGGUGAGAGCUGUAUGUUAUUUGUGCUAUAAGGCAAGACUGGUUAUCACUUCUCAAGUCUUCAAUGCAUUGCCACCAUGGAGAAGAAGUGACUUAAGCACUGGAAAUUAUGGAAUUGGAUCUCCUCGGUCAAUGCUUGUGAAAAUAAUUUCAUGGGCCUGGAAUGGUUCACACGGAGUGAAAGUUCUAUGUCCUAAGAGCUAGCAAGUUUGCAGACAAUGAUAAUGUGGUAUUGCUUAGCUUGUCUAUCAUGAGAUAGUGGGAUCCUGGUGUGCCUAGUUUUCAGCUCCUUGUUGACUUAAAAACUGCUUGGUGUGUGUAAACAAAUACUGUCAUGGAAAUGCAAUGGGUUCAGCCCAUUAAUUGGGAUACCACUGCGAAAAUCUCAAGGAGGUUUCCAAUGUCAUCAAGUUGCAGAAUGCCAAGGAAACACUUGACAAGGUCUCGGAUGUGUCCGUGUGUGUAACCACUAUUGAGAAGGUCAAUAACCUGCUCCCGCAUAUCAGUGGUUCUUAACUGUAGAGCAUGAAGUGACUACCAAGUGUUUGAUGAGAUGUCUGGGAUGAGAUGCUUUCUAACCUGGAGAUGAGUAAAUGCUCACUGCAACAACUAGCCAUGGGUGUAGGAUACAUUGAAAAUGAGAAGAUAAUCCUGUCAGUUGAUCUAAAAGCAGAUGAGCUGCCCUCCAAGUUCUCACAUUCUAAGCACCAUGAGAAACAUUUGAAGUUUGCAUUAUGUCUUGAUGUUUAUCUGAUGUAUGCUGGCUACAAGAGGGCAUACUGUUUAUCUGACUAGUAUUAGGCAUUGGAAUCUUUGUAUUUGGAGAUAUGUUCUAAUGUGUUUGCACCUCUAGCAUUGGUGAAUUAUCAAGCUUACUUCAGUUUAUUCAGAAGUUUUCAGAAAUGUCCAGCCAUCAAAUAUUCCCAAUGAUAGCCGGAGUGGUUGCUGUCAUUAGUAAGGAGAAUCCAGAAGGAAAAGGUUUUAUUCUUCAAGUGCUAUUCCUUGCAGCUGUCCAUGACAACCCGAAUGCAAUGGCUGGAUUCAGAUAAUUUAACUGAGAGUGUGGGGUUGUUGGUGCUGUCUCUGUUGGCUGUGGAUUCGAGUAGAUGAGAUGGCUCACUCUUGUAUAAACCAAUGGGAUCCAGUUUGUGUUUUAAAGCUCAGAUCCACUGGUGAACCAACAGGGAGAGGAUAUUUUCACACAUCAGAACUGAAUGAAUUUUUGGCUUGGUUGAUCUGGAGAUGCAGUUCACACUACGAUGAUCAUUUUGCUGUCGAAGCACUAUAGCGCGGUGCAGUUUAUUUUUUGACUAAAAAUGAACUCGAAAGAGGAGCCGACAGAGCCAGCUCCACUGGCCCCGUGCUACAGUACUGCUGCUACAGUAAUAACCGGAGCCGGAGCACGCACCCUCAAGUAUAUACAGCCAGGGUUUUAGCUGCUUAACUACCAACUCAAAAUCGAAGGAUCCUCCUAUUCAUAGCUAAUGGAUCGGAUCGGAGUAACAGCGAUCGAGAUAAGAAUUGAAUUAAUUCAGUCCAAGGAUGCCUCCCCAGCAUGCUGGUAGUGGGAAACUCUCUCUUUUAUCCUUGGUAGUAGCAAGAUAUCUGGCGAUCUCAACAUCUAGUCCCUCUUUUGCUAGCUUCACCACAUUGCUCGAGUUGCAUUGCUUGCACACUGACAGAGCCUGACUAAUCAUAUCUGGAAGAGCUUCUCCCCUGUUGGACGUGAAAGCCCAUGCAUCAAGACACUGUUAGGAAUGGAAUGUUUGAAAGAAUGCCAAUUGUAUUUUUAUGGAGCACGCAGAUGGCAUAUCUAUAUGGGGAGAUCCGAGAUACUAAUCAUCAGGCUGGUAUUACAAAACAAACUAUAUAUUAAUUCAAGCAUUAUUUUAUUUGAGAUAAAAGUGACACAGUUGUGGAGCAACCGGUGAUCGGUGAUGGCCUUGACGCUAAGCUAGCGAUGCCCAGUCAUCGCCUCCAGCAGCACCUGGCCGUCGUCGUGCCCGCCCACGAACCCCAGCACGGGCUUGUGCCCCCUGAGCAGUACAACCUUUCCCUGCGGUCCGCACACAGCCACCGCCAGCACCGGCACGUCGUUAAUUAGGGUCCUCGUCAGCAAGGCCUACCACCUCUCGUCGGUGAUCACCAUGCGUCCCUGCUUGCAGAAGACGCGGAAGAUGGAGCACGCCGAAGACGAAAAGGAUGAGGUAGAGUACGAGGCGGCAUUAUAAGAGAAUCAGGCGCCAUUGGUAGAGGAAUUAAGAGGAGAGAUGGACGCGCAGGAGGCUCGGCCGCGCACCGGCACCGCGCCGGGUUGGUCGUCGCCGGCGGCCGUCAUUCCUUCCGUUUAGGAAGGAAAAAGCUAUGCGACGUCCACGAGUCAGAUCGAGCUGUGGGAGCCCAACAAAUUGUGCGCGCGUGAUGCUUAGCAUCAGCAUAUGCGGAGGCGAGGCGCGGCGGCUCACGGCGGUACGGGUCUCGGGACCGGCCCGGCCUGCAUACUCGCUCAAUGCCACGGUGGCACGGUGGUAUGCAGCGCCAAUGCAUCAACUUUUCCCUUUCUUCCCUUUGUUACAAAAAAUAAAAUAAAAAUGCAACCAAAAAACCAUGAGUUGAAGCUGAAAUUGAUAGAGUACAAACAGAUAUAAAUAUAAAUAUAAUUUGUUUUACAGUUUUCGUUGACAAGGGUGGAGUUCACGACAAUUCUAAAUCAAAUUGAAACAAAGCCUUAUAUUAAUUGGAUUGGAGAGACCUUUUCAAAAAAAAA
RNAcentral lists this long non-coding RNA (31419 nucleotides) under Setaria viridis. RNAcentral describes it as "long non-coding RNA (SVIR_LNC006272)". Lineage: Eukaryota; Viridiplantae; Streptophyta; Magnoliopsida; Poales; Poaceae. The record is from RNAcentral.